GCCGGUUUGAGUCUUCCAUGCUUGUCUCUCGGGGCCACAAAACGAGUUCCUGGUAACUCAACUGAUAAUGCCCUGGGCGAAAGUCCCCGGGCCUAGGAUAGAAAGUAUCAAGGUGUAAAAAGUGUGCACAAAACACCCACCACCCCUGUGGUGGGUGGUGCAUUCGCCUAUAUUCUGCGGAAUUUCGCCUGGCGUAUGGAUGAAGAGGAUUUUAUCCGAAUCCUUACGCGCCAGGUUGUCUGCGGAAAUCUGCCAGAGUAAUCUUAGAUAUGGACGAGUUGGUAGGACUCGGCGGGUGGUGUUCACACACUUUCUCGUCUGAGAAACCGCCUACACAGAAUGGGGCUUACAUUGGGAAACUCGGACGGCGCACUCCCUUUUU
Non-coding RNA from Drosophila melanogaster (fruit fly), 382 nucleotides. Lineage: Eukaryota; Metazoa; Arthropoda; Insecta; Diptera; Drosophilidae. The record is from Ensembl.